RNAcentral lists this long non-coding RNA (1975 nucleotides) under Callithrix jacchus (white-tufted-ear marmoset). RNAcentral's name for it is "lncRNA (ENSCJAG00000058244.2)". Lineage: Eukaryota; Metazoa; Chordata; Mammalia; Primates; Cebidae. The record is from RNAcentral.
CAUGGGUCCACUGGGAGAGGGCAAAGUGAUCUCACAAUGAAGAUUGGGAGUGGACAGCCAGUCCAGUUGCCUGGCUGGAGACCCUGGCAAUGGCUUGAGGGGGCAGCCAGCAGGAGCCAAGGUAUGACUGAGUCAGCCAGGGGAGUGGUGCUGGGAGCAGAACUGAGCCAAAAGAACAGCUCAUGAAUUCAGACUUCAGCUUCAGGGAUCAUCAGGGUGCACAGCAAACUAGUACACAGGGCACUGCCCCAGAGACAACGACUAGAAGACACCAUGCUUAAGACCCUGCGUUCCCUUUCUCUGCCCAUAUCCUUAAUCUCCCUUACAGAGAAAGGCAAGAGAGGGGAAGUCUAUCUGAGAGGCAGAACUAUUCGAUUUAAUAGUCAACAUAAAAUACCAGAUUGGACUAAGCUUUAAACCAGAUUGGACAUUUCACUAUUUUUCACUGCUAGCCAGUGAUGCGGAGCUUAUGAGGAAGACUGUAACAGAUAUAGGCUAAGUAAAGAAGUCUUAUUUUUUCCAUACAUGAGUUGUUGUUAAGUUUCUUGGCCCUCCUCCCCCACAUACAUAUUCCAUGUGGACUGUAAGGGGAAAAGAAGGAGCGUGGCUUUCCAGGAAAGCAGGAGCUGGAGAGCAGAAGCGCCGGAGCAAGAAUGAACUUCCUGGAUUACUCAGAACGAAUGUCUCUGAGGCCACAGCAGUGGGAGUUUUGAUCCCGGAAAACACUGGAGUAAAUCUGAAUCUGCUUCGGAUGAAUUGCCUCCUAGGAACUACCUUAGCCUCGCAAAUAGGCUUUCAUCAUCUCAUCCUACCUGUCCACCAGACGUAUAACCAGAAGUGUAUAAACUCCGACCACAGUUCUGCCUCAGCCACAGUCGAUGCAGCUGGGGAGACUCAGUCAGCAGAAGCCCUUUCUGCUGAGUUCACCGCGAGGGAAGGUGAAAUGGGAGGCAGUGGAGACAUGGACCUGCUCCCCGGUGCUGGGUUCCACUUCUGCUUCGGCUCAGUUCAGAGCCUGUUGGACUCUCCCAUCUCUCCAGUCAAGAAAGUAACUUCUGGCCGGGCGCGGUGGCUCACGCCUGUAAUCCCAGCACUUUGGGAGGCCGAGGCGGGUGGAUCACGAGGUCAGCAGAUCGGGACCAUCCUGGUCAACAUGGUGAAACCCCGUCUCUACUAAAAAUACAAAAAAUUAGCUGGGCACGGUGGUGCGUGCCUGUAAUCCCAGCUACUCGGGAGGCUGAGGCAAGAGAAUUGCCUGAACCCAGGAGGCGGAGGUUGCGGUGAGCCGAGAUUGCGCCAUUGCACUCCAGCCUGGGUAACAAGAGCAAAACUCCGUCUCAAAAAAAAAAAAAAAAAAAAAAAAAAGAAAGUAACUUCUUCCAAAAAGAGGUUAGUGUGGUUAGGUUAGUAUAGGUGGAAAUAAUUGAGACGCUUCCUGAUUUAGUACGUCCUGAUGAUGGUGGCCAUAUUGGGGGAGAGGGAGGAAGCUCUUAUUUUAGGCAUUAAAGUGAAUUUAAGAAAAUCAAAGUGCCUUCCUUUAGAAGAGACAGAACUAGUUUUUAAUAUUUUAUGGAAGCUACUGGAAUAUUUUAUGAAAGCCUACGCUGUAGAGAGGUCAUCUUUAAAGUAAUCGUGGUAUAAUAAGCCAUAUCUUAAAAUGUAAUUUUAAACUUAGACUGAACUAUUCUAUUUUAAAUUGGGACUUUUUAAUAACAGAGAAUUAUGUCCAGUUUUUUAUGAUCACAUGUGCACAUGCACACAGGAGCACACACAAGAAGGCAAAGUAAUGAAAAGAUACCCACAAAGACAGCUCUGUGUGAGAUUCAAUGUGGCAUUGUUUUUAUCCUUUGGUUUAUCAAUUUUUUUCCCUAAGGUUUCCAAAAUGUUACUUUUCUAAUAAGAGAAAAAAUGUGUGUGUGCCAGAGUGUGUGUGCAUGGUGUGUGUCCAUGCACACAUGUGUGCAUGUGCACAUGU